Molecule: non-coding RNA, 302 nt
Organism: Cinara cedri
Lineage: Eukaryota; Metazoa; Arthropoda; Insecta; Hemiptera; Aphididae
Source: the annotation of a GenBank genome assembly
CAUACAAUCGAACCGAUUUUACAAGAGGCGGAUAACUGCGACAGUGGCCCGCGGAUACCGCAAAUCGCCAUGUGCGUGGUGCAUAAAAACCCGUCGAUUAUGAUAGAUCGUGACAACAUGCAAUACCUGUGACAGCUGCACAGACUAUACUCCGCGCCACGAGAGAAGUAAACCUUGUUCCGACCGAAACGCGUUCAAUUCUGCGCAUCCCCAUGUACUUGCUGGCACAAAGUGGAGGGAAACGGGGCCUCGUGCCGUUGGUUGGCAUGCGCGAAACGGUUUACUUCUCUCGUAGCGCGGAG